Non-coding RNA from Pelobates cultripes (western spadefoot toad), 89 nucleotides. Lineage: Eukaryota; Metazoa; Chordata; Amphibia; Anura; Pelobatidae. The record is from the annotation of a GenBank genome assembly.
GUGUUCCUUCAAGGCCAAAGUAGCUGAGCUGAAGGAACUGACUUAGAGAUCUUUUACAGUUCAGCUACUUUGACCUUAAAUUUGAAAUU